CUGAUAGUGUUAUCUACAAUGGAGGUGUGCCCCAGUUUCAGCCACUGGUGUAACUGCAUCCCAGCAAACCUUAGAAGCAGUAGGAAAAUCCACUCUUUUUGCUGUACAAGUUUACCCCUAGCUCAAAUCAUGUUGGUUUUCAGUAAAAAUAGUGGCUUACAAUGGUGUACUUCAGUUGGACUAGCAUUUGUACAGUGCUCAGCAGCUGUCCGCUGACAGCUAAAAUCAGGCCACAUUCUCAGUAAAGACAAGACCUUAAUCAGCAGCUUUAGCAUUGAUAGUAGUCUCUGCUAUCUGUAGAAUGAGUAACAUCUCAGAGGGAGACACAUUCUCGGAGCUUUUAGAGCUGCUCACCUUCCAUACCAAAAAAUAUCCUCCCUGAACACCAGAAUUCAUGAGUUCAUUGUGUCUCAGCCUCUGGAGAGUUUAUGGCUGAAGAAGUUUGAAUGCUAUCAUCAGUCAGAUGUUAGAGGCAUGCACUGGAAAAAGAAAGGCAUUUCUUUCAGCCUGAAUACUCCAAAUUCCUAUCAGAUGGCCAGUGAAUUCAUUUUCCAUGACCUCCAGCUGAAGAACACAACAUUAGUGAAGAGCUCUGGCAGAGAAAGUUGCCUGAGCAUUUCCAUGUCCGAUGCAGCAGUUUUCAGAACUUGGGGUUCAAUCUUCAGGUUCAGGAUUUGUCUGGAAUUCACUAAUGUGCUGAUUCCCGACCAGGCAGGAUGAGUUCUACCAACCCACUCCCUCCCUCUCUGAACAAGAAGUGGACAUCUCAAAGGGGUUUUAGAAAGAAGAAAAAAGAAAUCGUUGGGACCAAAACCUGGAAAACCUAACAGGAGAAAAGACAAGAUUUUUUCUCCAUAAACUGUAUAUAAUCCA
Molecule: long non-coding RNA, 873 nt
Organism: Aquila chrysaetos chrysaetos
Lineage: Eukaryota; Metazoa; Chordata; Aves; Accipitriformes; Accipitridae
Exons: 3
Source: RefSeq, a predicted model, not a curated record